RNAcentral lists this ribosomal RNA (505 nucleotides) under uncultured bacterium. RNAcentral describes it as "partial 16S ribosomal RNA". It matches the Rfam family "Bacterial small subunit ribosomal RNA", at positions 28 to 507 of the family's 1533-position model. The record is from RNAcentral.
GACGAACGCUGGCGGCGUGCCUAAUACAUGCAAGUCGAACGCACAGUUUAUACCGUAGCUUGCUACACCAUAAACUGUGAGUUGCGAACGGGUGAGUAACGCGUAGGUAACCUGCCUGGUAGCGGGGGAUAACUAUUGGAAACGAUAGCUAAUACCGCAUAAUAUUUAUUAUUGCAUGAUAAUUGAUUGAAAGAUGCUAUUGCAUCACUACCAGAUGGACCUGCGUUGUAUUAGCUAGUAGGUGAGGUAACGGCUCACCUAGGCGACGAUACAUAGCCGACCGGAGAGGGUGAUCGGCCACACUGGGACUGAGACACGGCCCAGACUCCUACGGGAGGCAGCAGUAGGGAAUCUUCGGCAAUGGACGAAAGUCUGACCGAGCAACGCCGCGUGAGUGAAGAAGGUUGUCGGAUCGUAAAGCUCUGUUGUAAGAGAAGAACGGGUGUGAGAGUGGAAAGUUCACACUGUGACGGUAUCUUACCAGAAAGGGACGGCUAACUACGUG